RNAcentral lists this ribosomal RNA (253 nucleotides) under uncultured bacterium. Its description in RNAcentral is "partial 16S ribosomal RNA". It matches the Rfam family "Bacterial small subunit ribosomal RNA", at positions 524 to 776 of the family's 1533-position model. The record is from RNAcentral.
UACGUAGGGGGCAAGCGUUGUCCGGAAUCAUUGGGCGUAAAGAGCGUGUAGGCGGCCCGAUAAGUCCGCUGUGAAAGUCCAGGGCUCAACCCUGGGAUGCCGGUGGAUACUGUCGGGCUCGAGUCCGGAAGAGGAGUGUGGAAUUCCUGGUGUAGCGGUGAAAUGCGCAGAUAUCAGGAGGAACACCGGUGGCGAAGGCGGUUCUCUGGGCCUUACCUGACGCUGAGGCACGAAGGUCAGGGGAGCAAACGGG